AAGCCACGCCACAGACUUACAUAAAACGACGCGUCACCUGACUGCCAGCGCAGGCUUACUUCCUAUUGGCUGACAGGAUUCAGCGAGGAGAGCUACAAAGCAAAGAGGCGGUGGGGGGAAAUUAUAAAACAAGGCCACGUGCUCUACUUUCCCACAACUUCUUUUUUUGCGAGAUACUUAGGAGCCGGAAGGUUUGAAUGUUCAGAAAGGACAGAACUGUAUUCCAGCAUUAUGUUGUAGGUAUAUUCAGAUGAUUGUAUACGUGUAUAUGGUAUUGUGAAGACUGUACAUGUGUUCAUUUUAAAAGUGAACCUGCUCAAGCCCCUGAAAAAUGCAAUCUAUGGAAGAAGACGGGAACGGUAUCCUUUUGUUGGAGACUCAAUGAAUAUUUGCUGAAAAAAGUGGAAAUUGUGGAGAAAGCCAAAAGGAAGUUAAAGGAUUAUUUUGAAACCUAUGUUUAUAGAAAUAUGUAAACUGCUAUUCUAAGUAUGUGCAGGAGGUUGAUAGGCAGAUAGCUGCCACAGAAAGGACAGAGAAAUGUUGCUUGGAAUGCAGGAGAGAAGACCAUGAGAGAGGAAAAACCAGUUGGAGGACAGCUGGUCAGCCAUUAAGAGGGUGGAGAGGCUUGGAAGACUUAUCCUAGGAAGAGAGAAGCAGGGCUUAAGUAGAGGCAGGGGGUAAAUCUGCUCUCUAUAAGAAGCCAGGUCAGAAACAAAAUGUACAAGCCAAGUACCUCAACCCCAAGAUAAAGAAAGAAACUCAAGAAAGAACUUCAACUGUAUUAUAUGAACAAGAUGUUCUUCUGAGUCUAAAGUGUCAUGCUGCAUUUGUUUUUGCAUCACUGAGGUUUUCCAGUGGUUCCAGGCAGGGCAGCUCCUCCCUCCCACUUACUGCCACCACAGGGAUACUUAAGAACCAGUUUGGCCUGAAGACAGAAAAGGUUGUUAGGUAGCUUGGCUGAAGACAGCGGCAUGAACAAAGAAGCAACCACAAGAAUAAACCAGAUGCUUAAAUGGUUCAGAAGAGUGAAAAACACAGAGGAGGAAAAGAGGAACAACUUUGACCCUAUCACUACAAAGACAUUGAUCUUCAUCUAACAAGAGCGACUGAUUAAAUGUACACAUGUAAUUAAAGAGACAGGGGGAAACUCCCUGCAAGCAAAACAAAAGCCUUUUUCCUUGUUCUUAACUGCAGGCACAGCACCAGGCCUGAGCCUCUGCAAGUCAAUGGAGUGGUUAAAUUGACUAGACCAGAUUGUGAGCAGUUUCUGAUGUAGACAGUUUCAGUCCUAAGUAAAACUAAAGGAACAAAAUUAAUAAAAGUAUGUUACCAUUGGCUGAAUAUGAGUUGCAUGUGAAACACAGCUUCUUAGUGGAUAAAUUUUCAAAUUCUUGUGUUUUGGUCAUUUCUUAAUGGAUAUGCCUCAAACUUGGACAAGUAGUGGUGCUGGUCACUUAGUUGUUUCACACCAAAUUUCAGGUGGUUGGGGAAGAUGCAUAGGAUUUUAUGACUGAUUUUUUAAAAUAGGGCUUAUAAUGGUGGAAUGCAGCUUUACAAUGAUGAUUGUAAAGUGGAGAUGAAGGGCAGUGGAGAU
Hemicordylus capensis (graceful crag lizard) is the source of this 1594-nucleotide long non-coding RNA. RefSeq lists it as uncharacterized. The transcript is spliced from 4 exons. NCBI's taxonomy places the organism in Eukaryota, Metazoa, Chordata, Lepidosauria, Squamata, Cordylidae. The record is from RefSeq and is a predicted model, not a curated record.